RNAcentral lists this ribosomal RNA (253 nucleotides) under uncultured bacterium. RNAcentral describes it as "partial 16S ribosomal RNA". It matches the Rfam family "Bacterial small subunit ribosomal RNA", at positions 524 to 776 of the family's 1533-position model. The record is from RNAcentral.
UACGUAGGGGGCAAGCGUUGUCCGGAUUUAUUGGGCGUAAAGAGCGUGUAGGCGGCCAGACAGGUCCGUUGUGAAAACUAGAGGCUUAACCUCUAGACGUCGAUGGAAACCGUCUGGCUAGAGUCCGGAAGAGGAGAAUGGAAUUCCUGGUGUAGCGGUGAAAUGCGCAGAUAUCAGGAAGAACACCCGUGGCGAAAGCGGCUCUCUGGAACGGUACUGACGCUGAGACGCGAAAGCGUGGGGAGCGAACAGG